GGACCCGCACAAGCGGUGGAGCAUGUGGUUUAAUUCGACGCAACGCGAAGAACCUUACCAGGGCUUGACAUCCCCUGCUAUGCGUGGAAACACGCAGUUUGUACCUUCGGGUACGACAGGGAGACAGGUGGUGCAUGGUUGUCGUCAGCUCGUGUCGUGAGAUGUUGGGUUAAGUCCCGCAACGAGCGCAACCCCUAUUUCCAGUUGCCAGCACUUAGGGUGGGAACUCUGGAGAAACUGCCGGUGACAAACCGGAGGAAGGUGGGGAUGACGUCAAAUCAUCAUGCCCUUUAUGUCCUGGGCUACACACGUGCUACAAUGGCCGGUACAGAGGGCUGCGAAGCCGUGAGGUGGAGCGAAUCCCAAAAAGCCGGUCUCAGUUCGGAUUGCAGGCUGCAACUCGCCUGCAUGAAGUCGGAAUCGCUAGUAAUCGCGAGUCAGCAUAUCGCGGUGAAUACGUUCCCGGGUCUU
This 471-nucleotide ribosomal RNA is filed under the name uncultured bacterium. RNAcentral describes it as "bacterial SSU rRNA". It matches the Rfam family "Bacterial small subunit ribosomal RNA", at positions 917 to 1382 of the family's 1533-position model. The record is from RNAcentral.